Molecule: ribosomal RNA, 253 nt
Filed under: uncultured bacterium
Lineage: Bacteria
Description: partial 16S ribosomal RNA
Rfam family: Bacterial small subunit ribosomal RNA
Source: RNAcentral
UACGUAGGGGGCAAGCGUUGUCCGGAUUUAUUGGGCGUAAAGAGCGUGUAGGCGGCUUUACAGGUCCGUUGUGAAAACUCGAGGCUUAACCUCGAGACGUCGAUGGAAACCGUAUGGCUAGAGUCCGGAAGAGGAGAGUGGAAUUCCUGGUGUAGCGGUGAAAUGCGCAGAUAUCGGGAGGAACACCAAUGGCGAAGGCAGCUCGCUGGGACGUUACUGACGCUGAGACGCGAAAGCGUGGGGAGCAAACAGG